RNAcentral lists this ribosomal RNA (676 nucleotides) under uncultured bacterium. RNAcentral describes it as "bacterial SSU rRNA". It matches the Rfam family "Bacterial small subunit ribosomal RNA", at positions 8 to 694 of the family's 1533-position model. The record is from RNAcentral.
AGAGUUUGAUCCUGGCUCAGGACGAACGCUGGCGGUGUGCUUCACACAUGCAAGUCGAGCGAAUGAAGUAGGUAGCUUGCUACUUAUGGAUUUAGCGGCGGACGGGUGAGUAAUAUAUAGGAAUCUGCCUUAGAGCGGGGAACAACAGACCGAAAGGUUUGCUAAUGCCCCAUAGGUAUGCAGUCUUCGGAUUGUAUAUUAAAGGAGUAAUCCACCCUAAGAUGAGCCUGUAUCCGAUUAGCUAGUUGGCGGGGUAAAGGCCCACCAAGGCUACGAUCGGUAGUUGGUCUGAGAGGAUGAUCAGCCACAAUGGGACUGAGACACGGCCCAUACUCCUACGGGAGGCAGCAGUGGGGAAUUUUACACAAUGGGGGAAACCCUGAUGUAGCGACACCGCGUGAACGAAGAAGCCUUUUGGGGUGUAAAGUUCUGUCGGCUGGAACGAAAAAAAUGACGGUACCAGCAAAGGAAGCAUCGGCUAACUACGUGCCAGCAGCCGCGGUAAGACGUAGGAUGCAAGCGUUGUCCGGAUUUAUUGGGCGUAAAGAGUUCGUAGGCGGUUAUUUAAGUCUGAUGUUAAAUACUGUGGCCCAACCACAGAACUGCAUUGGAUACUGGAUGACUUGAGUGCGGUAGAGGCAAGUGGAAUUCCCAGUGUAGCGGUGAAAUGCGUAGA